GGCCGGUUGGCCCAAUGGCAAGGCGUCUGACUACGACGUAUCGUGGAAUCAGGAGAUUGUGGGUUCGACCCCCAUGCUGGUCA
This 83-nucleotide transfer RNA is filed under the name Colletotrichum godetiae. RNAcentral's name for it is "tRNA-Arg". It matches the Rfam family "tRNA". Rfam says of the family: Transfer RNA (tRNA) molecules are approximately 80 nucleotides in length. Lineage: Eukaryota; Fungi; Ascomycota; Sordariomycetes; Glomerellales; Glomerellaceae. The record is from RNAcentral.